GUUUCCCGUAGGUGAACCUGCGGAAGGAUCAUUAU
This 35-nucleotide ribosomal RNA is filed under the name Steinernema nepalense. RNAcentral's name for it is "partial 18S ribosomal RNA". The record is from RNAcentral. Lineage: Eukaryota; Metazoa; Nematoda; Chromadorea; Rhabditida; Steinernematidae.